CCUACGGGGGGCAGCAGUGGGGAAUAUUGCACAAUGGGGGAAACCCUGAAGCAGCAACGCCGCGUGGAGGAUGAAGGUUUUCAGAUUGUAAACUCCUUUUGUUAGAGAAGAUAAUGACGGUAUCUAACGAAUAAGCACCGGCUAACUCCGUGCCAGCAGCCGCGGUAAUACGGAGGGUGCAAGCGUUACUCGGAAUCACUGGGCGUAAAGAGCGCGUAGGCGGGAUAGCAAGUCAGAUGUGAAAUCCUAUGGCUUAACCAUAGAACUGCAUUUGAAACUGUUAGUCUAGAGUAUGGGAGAGGUAGGUGGAAUUCUUGGUGUAGGGGUAAAAUGCGUAGAGAUCAAGAGGAAUACUCAUGGCGAAGGCGACCUGCUAGAACAUAACUGACGCUGAUGCGCGAAAGCGUGGGGAGCAAACAGGAUUAGAUACCCGUGUAGUC
This 440-nucleotide ribosomal RNA is filed under the name uncultured bacterium. RNAcentral describes it as "partial 16S ribosomal RNA". It matches the Rfam family "Bacterial small subunit ribosomal RNA", at positions 338 to 795 of the family's 1533-position model. The record is from RNAcentral.